RNAcentral lists this ribosomal RNA (491 nucleotides) under uncultured bacterium. RNAcentral's name for it is "partial 16S ribosomal RNA". It matches the Rfam family "Bacterial small subunit ribosomal RNA", at positions 29 to 506 of the family's 1533-position model. The record is from RNAcentral.
AGUGAACGCUGGCGGUAGGCCUAACACAUGCAAGUCGAACGGCAGCACAGUAAGAGCUUGCUCUUACGGGUGGCGAGUGGCGGACGGGUGAGGAAUACAUCGGAAUCUACUUUUUCGUGGGGGAUAACGUAGGGAAACUUACGCUAAUACCGCAUACGACCUACGGGUGAAAACAGGGGAUCUUCGGACCUUGCGCGAUUGAAUGAGCCGAUGUCGGAUUAGCUAGUUGGCGGGGUAAAGGCCCACCAAGGCGACGAUCCGUAGCUGGUCUGAGAGGAUGAUCAGCCACACUGGAACUGAGACACGGUCCAGACUCCUACGGGAGGCAGCAGUGGGGAAUAUUGGACAAUGGGCGCAAGCCUGAUCCAGCCAUACCGCGUGGGUGAAGAAGGCCUACGGGUUGUAAAGCCCUUUUGUUGGGAAAGAAAAGCAGCAGGUUAAUACCCCGCUGUUCUGACGGUACCCAAAGAAUAAGCACCGGCUAACUUCGU